GGACAACAGUUGGAAACGACUGCUAAUACCGCAUAAGCCCACGGCCCGGCAUCGGGCUGAGGGAAAAGGAUUUAUUCGCUUCAGGAUGGACUCGCGUCCAAUUAGCUAGUUGGUGAGGUAACGGCCCACCAAGGCGACGAUUGGUAGCCGGACUGAGAGGUUGAACGGCCACAUUGGGACUGAGACACGGCCCAGACUCCUACGGGAGGCAGCAGUGGGGGAUAUUGCACAAUGGGGGAAACCCUGAUGCAGCGACGCCGCGUGGAGGAAGAAGGUUUUCGGAUUGUAAACUCCUGUCGUUAGGGACGAUAAUGACGGUACCUAACAAGAAAGCACCGGCUAACUACGUGCCAGCAGCCGCGGUAAAACGUAGGGUGCAAGCGUUGUCCGGAAUUACUGGGUGUAAAGGGAGCGCAGGCGGACCGGCAAGUUGGAAGUGAAAACUAUGGGCUCAACCCAUAAAUUGCUUUCAAAACUGCUGGCCUUGAGUAGUGCAGAGGUAGGUGGAAUUCCCGGUGUAGCGGUGGAAUGCGUAGAUAUCGGGAGGAACACCAGUGGCGAAGGCGACCUACUGGGCACCAACUGACGCUGAGGCUCGAAAGCAUGGGUAGCAAACAGGAUUAGGUACCCUGGUAGUCCAUGCCGUAAACGAUGAUUACUAGGUGUUGGAGGAUUGACCCCUUCAGUGCCGCAG
RNAcentral lists this ribosomal RNA (694 nucleotides) under uncultured bacterium. RNAcentral describes it as "bacterial SSU rRNA". It matches the Rfam family "Bacterial small subunit ribosomal RNA", at positions 141 to 851 of the family's 1533-position model. The record is from RNAcentral.